GUCUACGGCCAUGCCACCCUGAACAAGCCUGAUAUCUGAUCUCGGAAGCUAAGCAGCGUCGGGGCCUGGUUAGUACUUGGAUGGGAGAUCACCUAGGAAGACCAGGAAGACCAGGUGCUGUAGGCA
Molecule: ribosomal RNA, 126 nt
Filed under: Pteropus alecto (black flying fox)
Lineage: Eukaryota; Metazoa; Chordata; Mammalia; Chiroptera; Pteropodidae
Source: RNAcentral